This 654-nucleotide ribosomal RNA is filed under the name uncultured bacterium. Its description in RNAcentral is "bacterial SSU rRNA". It matches the Rfam family "Bacterial small subunit ribosomal RNA", at positions 8 to 652 of the family's 1533-position model. The record is from RNAcentral.
AGAGUUUGAUCCUGGCUCAGAUUGAACGCUGGCGGCAUGCCUAACACAUGCAAGUCGAACGGAAACGAUGGGAGCUUGCUCCCAGGCGUCGAGUGGCGGACGGGUGAGUAAUACAUAGGAAUCUGCCCAGUAGCGGGGGACAACCUGGUGAAAACCAGGCUAAUACCGCAUACGACCUACGGGUGAAAGCAGGGGAUCUUCGGACCUUGCACUACUGGAUGAGCCUAUGUCAGAUUAGCUUGUUGGUGGGGUAAUGGCCUACCAAGGCGACGAUCUGUAGCUGGUCUGAGAGGACGAUCAGCCACACUGGGACUGAGACACGGCCCAGACUCCUACGGGAGGCAGCAGUGGGGAAUAUUGCACAAUGGGCGAAAGCCUGAUGCAGCAAUGCCGCGUGUGUGAAGAAGGCCUGCGGGUUGUAAAGCACUUUCAGUGGGGAGGAAACAGUUGCGGGUUAAUAUCCCGUGGCCUUGACGUUACCCACAGAAGAAGCACCGGCUAACUCUGUGCCAGCAGCCGCGGUAAUACAGAGGGUGCGAGCGUUAAUCGGAAUUACUGGGCGUAAAGCGCGCGUAGGCGGCUUGGUCAGUCGGAUGUGAAAGCCCCGGGCUUAACCUGGGAAUUGCAUUCGAUACUGCCAGGCUAGAAUGUAGU